Molecule: ribosomal RNA, 510 nt
Filed under: uncultured bacterium
Lineage: Bacteria
Description: partial 16S ribosomal RNA
Rfam family: Bacterial small subunit ribosomal RNA
Source: RNAcentral
GACGAACGCUGGCGGCGUGCUUAACACAUGCAAGUCGAACGAAGAGCGAUGGUAGCUUGCUUCUAUCACUCUUAGUGGCGAACGGGAGAGUAACGCGAAACCAACCUGCUCUUCCGAGGAGGACAACAGAUGGAAAGGACUGCUAAUACCGUAUACGAUAUAAUUUCGGCAUCGUGGAUGGAGUAAAGAAGGCCUUUAUAUUUAAGGUAUAACUGAAGGCGGGGUUUGCGCCUGAUUAGCUGGUUGGAGGGGUGACGGGCCACCAAGGCGAUGCUGAGUAGCCGGUCGGAGAGGAGGAAGGGCGACAGUGGGACUGAGACACGGCCCAGGGUCCUACGGGAGGCAGCAGUGGGGAAUCUGGCGCAAUGGACGAAAGGCGGACGGAGCAACGCCGCGCGAGGGGUGACGGCCGUCGGGUUGUAAAGCUCAGUUAAUCGGGGCGAAAGGCCUACUUGCGAAUAGUGAAGAGGAUUGACGGUACCGGAAUAGAAAGCCACGGCUAACUACGUG